GACGUAGGGGGCCAGCGUUGCUCGGAAUUACUGGGUGUAAAGGGUUCGUAGGCGGUGUGGCAAGUCGGGUGUGAAAUCUCUGAGCUUAACUCAGGGCCUGCUUCCGAAACUGCUGUGCUAGAGUGUGGGAGAGGCGCGUGGAAUUGCAGGUGUAGCGGUGAAAUGCGUAGAUAUCUGCAGGAACACCCGUGGCGAAAGCGGCGCGCUGGACCACUACUGACGCUGAGGAACGAAAGCUAGGGGAGCAAACAGG
RNAcentral lists this ribosomal RNA (253 nucleotides) under uncultured bacterium. RNAcentral's name for it is "partial 16S ribosomal RNA". It matches the Rfam family "Bacterial small subunit ribosomal RNA", at positions 524 to 776 of the family's 1533-position model. The record is from RNAcentral.